GGGGAAAGAAGACCCUGUUGAGCUUGACUCUAGUCUGACGUUGUGAAAUGAUCGUUGAGGUGUAGUAUAAGUGGGAGCUUCGGCGUACUUGAAAUACCACUACUCUUCGUAUUGUUUUACUUAUUCCGUGACGCGAGGCUCCGCUGCCCUGACGGGUACCGGAUUCUAGUGUUAACGGGUGCCAUUCGGCGCCCCGACUCGCGCGGAAGACAAGCUCAGGUGGGGAGUUUGGCUGGGG
RNAcentral lists this ribosomal RNA (238 nucleotides) under Alexandrium tamarense. Its description in RNAcentral is "partial Eukaryotic large subunit ribosomal RNA". It matches the Rfam family "Eukaryotic large subunit ribosomal RNA", at positions 2399 to 2630 of the family's 3401-position model. Lineage: Eukaryota; Dinophyceae; Gonyaulacales; Pyrocystaceae. The record is from RNAcentral.